UGGGAACCUACCUCUUAGCAGGGGAUAACAUUGGAACAAUGCUAAUACCGUAUAAUAAUUAAAACCGCAUGGUUUAGUUUAAAGAUGGUCUUGCUAUCACUAAGAGAUGGUCCCGCGGUGUAUUAGUUAGUUGGUGAGGUAAUGGCUCACCAAGACAAUGAUACAUAGCCGAGUUGAGAGACUGACCGGCCACAAUGGGACUGAGACACGGCCCAUACUCCUACGGGAGGCAGCAGUAGGGAAUCUUCCACAAUGGACGAAAGUCUGAUGGAGCAACGCCGCGUGUGUGAUGAAGGGUUUCGGCUCGUAAAACACUGUUGUAAGAGAAGAAUGACAUUGAGAGUAACUGUUCAAUGUGUGACGGUAUCUUACCAGAAAGGAACGGCUAAAUACGUG
This 396-nucleotide ribosomal RNA is filed under the name uncultured bacterium. Its description in RNAcentral is "bacterial SSU rRNA". It matches the Rfam family "Bacterial small subunit ribosomal RNA", at positions 118 to 507 of the family's 1533-position model. The record is from RNAcentral.